Molecule: ribosomal RNA, 423 nt
Filed under: uncultured bacterium
Lineage: Bacteria
Description: bacterial SSU rRNA
Rfam family: Bacterial small subunit ribosomal RNA
Source: RNAcentral
AUAUUGCACAAUGGGCGCAAGCCUGAUGCAGCCAUGCCGCGUGUAUGAAGAAGGCCUUCGGGUUGUAAAGUACUUUCAGCGAGGAGGAAGGUGUUGUGGUUAAUAACUACAGCAAUUGACGUUACUCGCAGAAGAAGCACCGGCGAACUCCGUGCCAGCAGCCGCGGUAAUACGGAGGGUGCAAGCGUUAAUCGGAAUUACUGGGCGUAAAGCGCACGCAGGCGGUCUGUCAAGUCGGAUGUGAAAUCCCCGGGCUCAACCUGGGAACUGCAUCCGAAACUGGCAGGCUAGAGUCUUGUAGAGGGGGGUAGAAUUCCAGGUGUAGCGGUGAAAUGCGUAGAGAUCUGGAGGAAUACCGGUGGCGAAGGCGGCCCCCUGGACAAAGACUGACGCUCAGGUGCGAAAGCGUGGGGAGCAAACAGG